GAACUGCGAUAAGUAAUGUGAAUUGCAGAAUUCAGUGAAUCAUCGAGUCUUUGAACGCACAUUGCGCCCCCUGGCAUUCCGGGGGGCAUGCCUGUCCGAGCGUCAUUGCUGCCCUUCAAGCCCGGCUGUGUGUUGGGUCGUCGUCCCCUCCGGGGGACGGGCCCGAAAGGCAGCGGCGGCACCGCGUCCGGUCCUCGAGCGUAUGGGGCUUUGUCACCCGCUCGAUAAGGACCGGCCGGGCGCCAGCCGGCGUCUCCAACCUUUUUUUCUCAGGUUGACCUCGGAUCAGGUAGGGAUACCCGCUGAACUUAAGC
RNAcentral lists this unclassified non-coding RNA (314 nucleotides) under plant metagenome. RNAcentral describes it as "partial contains 5.8S ribosomal RNA, internal transcribed spacer 2, and large subunit ribosomal RNA". The stretch from base 1 to 105 matches the Rfam family "5.8S ribosomal RNA", at positions 50 to 154 of the family's 154-position model. The record is from RNAcentral.